ACACGAGGGAGGAGCCAACACGGAAAAGCCACCGCACUGAAUACGAAUUCGGUAUAGUUUGAUGGCAUGAAACUCCGCUCAUUACUGCUAGCAAGCAGCUCACCUCAACGCUGCACUUUUUUACGCAGACAGUGUUUCAGCCCAAGCGGGCUUAGUGGGCCCGCUGGGACGAUCAGUUACGUGCACCGCCACCACGCACUCGUCACCGCAGCAGACAUUGCUGCCUCCUCCGUCACCUCGGGGUAUAGCAGCCAGUUCGAAUCGCCCACGCCCGCCCACUGCAGUGGACCCAGACACAGCGCCUUCGUAGCUUCCUGUCUGCGGACGUAUCGCCCUUUAUGGACACCCUCUACACGGCCGUCAUCGGGGCAUGUGCGCUGUUCUGGAGGUGCCGUGUAUAGGACGUCGACGGUGGAGCACGCUACGAUGGCUUUUUCUCGGCGGUGCACAGUACAUGUUCGACCUGUAUGGGCACACAAGUUUUUAACUCAUCUCUUAUACAAGAGGAGCGACAGCGACUGACGAGCGCAAUGUCUCCGAAGGCUGUGGAAGACGCACACAAUUCACAGCACACCUGCACGAGAACCAAGCUGACGAGUACAGUCGCACAGAGGAAACUACAGCGAGACUGUUACAAUAAAUAUGUUGGUGAGGAUGAUCCCCUGUCUCAACGAGCCCAUCAAUCUUGUCAGACGGAACACCACAUCACUCUAGUGUGGUGCGCAAGACCAAAUGUGCCAACUCGCAGCACUGCAGUCCAGGUGGAACCAUGGGAACAGCAGCGUUGAUGGAAGUGCGCAAGAAGAUGAAAGUUCCUCUACUGCUAGGGCAGUAUGAAGCAGCUUCACAAGGCAGUAGCCACUGUCCUAGAGUGACCCUGGGCAAGCUUGCUCAUGACUAAGCCAUCAAAGAUGCUUUGAUGAAAGACAUCCUAAGGGAUCGGGUCUUCUUCGUCAGUUCAACUGCCAUGCUGCUGUGAGACUUGUGAAUCGAGAAGCCUACAUCCUAAGCAGUAUGAACAAAUCUGGGCCGGCAUGCUUAAGGGUCACAAGCCACUCUCAUUUGCCAUUAAAGCCAAAAAGUACCUGAUUACACUAAACUUGUGUCUGCCGAUGGCAGGAGCAACAUCUAAAAGAGCUUCCGCAAAAUUUAUUUUGCAGUCGUCGUCUUGGCACUUCCGUGGGACACUAGGUGUUGCCAUGUGAGAGCCCAGGAAUGUAUGCUCGGUUGCUAGCCAAGCUGUGGAGACCACCUUUUCUAUGCAACCCUGAAACGCCUAAAUAAUCAAACUCAACAUGCUAGCACAAUAUAGUGUAAGGAUUCUCUUAGUUUAAUUCUAUAUGCUUCCUUAACAUUCCCUAUAUUCAGCCCGCAUAUAGUGGUGAUAACAUAUGCAGAGAGCCACUGUUACGCACUGACUAGACGCAAAAAGGGAAAGAAUUGAAAUAGAAUCGUUACAUUAUGCCAGUUCUGUUCUUCUGUCAUGCGUUUUUUCAUGCAUGGAUUUUUUCAUUUAGUAGAUAUGUAAAGCUAGCAUGGUUCCAAGAUGCCUUUGAACAUUGCACUCACCUUGAAAUUUCUUGUGGGAAUAUCCAGCAAUGCAUCAAGGGGCUACGGUAUCGUAGUCGUCAGUGCACCACGGGUUCCAGAAGCCCACUGCUUUAACAAUUCUGAUCACCUAUGGUUCGGUAAUGUGCACCUAAAGUGCUGGUGGCAUUUACAAUAUAAGAUGACACUAGCUGUUUAAAGCAUGGCACUAGAGUUCUGUUUUUCUUCUAUACUUCUGGAAUAGAUAACACGUGUAGACUAUGCAUCACCGUAACCAGAACUGUGAAGCUGUGCUUUGAUUAUGCAGUCGUCAUAGGGUCUAACCACACUUCAGUUUCACAGAUGGUCACAGUGAUAUCUUGCAAGCUGUAGUAGGCUGACUCGGGGUGCUCUUUUAGGUCCUGGUAGAGUAGAUGCAAACCUGUAUAAUAGUGUCCCGGGUAGUAAGGCAGUAGCAGAACACAUGAACAUCAAUGCUUGAACUUCUGAUGACAGCAGCGCACCUGCGAAGUUUCCCUAAUUAGCCGCACAAUGACAGAUUAUGAUGCCUUUGUACGGUAGCAUGGUAAAGGAAGAUGUCUCAUGGAAAUCGCUUUCCGAUUGUCUGCAAAGACCACCAUUUAUCUCGCCACAUACAAAAAGAAAAAGGACCAGUCAAUAUAGGCGAACGAAUCGACGUGCUAUUUUAGAGUUGUAAUAUAGUAUUACAUCGUUGGGUCAAGUUUCUAGAACACUUUUUGUGUUUUGUUAAGGCAAAAGCCUUUCCAGGCUCAUGGUGAAGUUCGUGUCAACAGACCUGACUGCUGGAGUGCCUGCCGAAGCGUCAUCAUGCCAUAUGAAGACAGAUUAAAGAAUGAAAAAUGAUUGCUAGUAACACUUAGUCAAUGAUAACGUUAUAAUAGAGAUUGGUAGAGGUUAAUAAUGACCAUUAAUGACUUGUAAUGACUACUAAUGACUCUGAAAUGACCAAUAUGUCAACGACAGCUUGUAAUAACCAUAAUUGAUUAGAAAUGACGAGAAAUUUUUAGUAAUAGUAAUGACUAGAAUGACUACUAAUGACGUAAUGACUACUAAUCACUAUGAAAUGACCAAUAUGUCUAAUGACGGCUUGUAAUGACAAUUGAUUACAAAUGACUAAAAAUGCUUAGUAAUAACCACUAAUUACUAAUAAUGACUGAAAUGACUUGUAAUGACUACAAAUGACCAAUAUACCUUAACGAUGAAUUGUAACUACUAUAAAUUAAUUAGAAAUGACCAGUAAUGACUGAAAUGACUGAUAUGACCAACAUGUCUAACGAUGGCUUGUAAUGACCACAGUUGAUUACAAAUGACUAAACAUACUCAGUAGUAAGCAGUAAUGGCUAAAAGAAAAGAGAAAGAGAAGAAGUGAAUGAUACGAGGAAGAAGAUUAGGCUUUCACCGUUCACCUCUUACGAGAGAUCGUAAGAGACCCUGUAAUUUUUUUUUGUAUAA
Dermacentor andersoni is the source of this 3021-nucleotide non-coding RNA. Lineage: Eukaryota; Metazoa; Arthropoda; Arachnida; Ixodida; Ixodidae. The record is from RefSeq and is a predicted model, not a curated record.